UACAGAGGGGGCAAGCGUUGUUCGGAAUUACUGGGCGUAAAGGGCGCGUAGGCGGCCUCUUAAGUCGAACGUGAAAUCCCCGGGCUCAACCCGGGAACUGCGUCCGAUACUGGGGGGCUUGAAUCCGGGAGAGGGAUGCGGAAUUCCAGGUGUAGCGGUGAAAUGCGUAGAUAUCUGGAGGAACACCGGUGGCGAAGGCGGCAUCCUGGACCGGCAUUGACGCUGAGGAGCGAAAGCCAGGGGAGCAAACGGG
RNAcentral lists this ribosomal RNA (253 nucleotides) under uncultured bacterium. RNAcentral describes it as "partial 16S ribosomal RNA". It matches the Rfam family "Bacterial small subunit ribosomal RNA", at positions 524 to 776 of the family's 1533-position model. The record is from RNAcentral.